GCACGGGGUAGUGGUUUGAACUCUCGACUACAACUCUGGAGGCUAGGGUUCGAUUCCCUGCUUGGCCA
Molecule: non-coding RNA, 68 nt
Organism: Phrynosoma platyrhinos (Desert horned lizard)
Lineage: Eukaryota; Metazoa; Chordata; Lepidosauria; Squamata; Phrynosomatidae
Source: the annotation of a GenBank genome assembly